RNAcentral lists this ribosomal RNA (844 nucleotides) under uncultured bacterium. Its description in RNAcentral is "bacterial SSU rRNA". It matches the Rfam family "Bacterial small subunit ribosomal RNA", at positions 62 to 902 of the family's 1533-position model. The record is from RNAcentral.
UCGAGCGAUCCCGCAAGGGAUAGCGGCAAAAGGGUGAGUAACGCGUAAGCAAUUUUCCUUUAAGACGAGGAUAGCACUGUGAAAACGGUGGUAAUACUCGAUGUUAUCGGUAGCCUGCAUGGGCAGCCGAUCAAAGACGGGGACCGCAAGGCCUGUCGCUUGAAGAUGAGCUUGCGUACCAUCAGCUAGUUGGUAGGGUAACGGCCUACCAAGGCUAAGACGGUUAGCUGGACUGAGAGGUUGACCAGCCACAUUGGGACUGAGACACUGCCCAGACUCCUACGGGAGGCUGCAGUCGAGAAUAUUUAGCAAUGGACGAAAGUCUGACUAUGCGACGCCGCGUGCAGGAUGAAGGUCUUCGGAUUGUAAACUGCUUUUGUUAGGGGAGAAACCUGUAUUGUUAACAGCAUUACAGCUGACGGUACCUGACGAAUAAGCCACGGCAAACUCUGUGCCAGCAGCCGCGGUAAUACAGAGGUGGCAAGCGUUACUCGGAAUUAUUGGGUGUAAAGGGCGGGUAGGUGGCCUAGUAAGUGAGGGGUGAAAUACUGCGGUUUAAUCGCAGAACAGCCUUUCAAACUGCAUGGCUUGAGAGAAAUAGAGGAAGAUGGAAUUCCCGGUGUAAGGGUGAAAUCUGUAGAUAUCGGGAAGAACACCAACGGCGAAGGCAAUCUUCUGGGUUUCUUCUGACACUGAACUGCGAAAGCUAGGGGAGCAAACAGAAUUAGAUACUCUGGUAGUCCUAGCCGUAAACGAUGAGUACUAGUGUUGGGUCCUCGGGACUCGUGCCGAAGCUAACGCAUUAAGUACUCCACCUGGGGACUACGUCGCAAGGCUAAAACUC